AAAAAAGAUUAGAAAAUUGUCUAAAUUGAAACUCACCAAUUAAAGAAAACAAUCAAACAGAGCAUCAUAGUGUAAAACAGAGCGUAGAGUGAUGUCAAAAACAAGAAGAAAAAAAACAACAAUCGUCAACCAUAUCCACUAACGCUGUUGCCUGUUGCUGCUUAAUUAGGAAUGAUCGGCCAAUUCUUUCCACGAAUAUAAGGAAUUGAAGGCAAUAAAAGUGACGGAGUUUUACCUUUAGGUAACGAAGACACUUUAUCUCCCAACUCACUUGCCUUAAGAAUAAUAAUUACAUAAUUGUAUCAACUAAAU
RNAcentral lists this small RNA (312 nucleotides) under Arabidopsis thaliana (thale cress). RNAcentral describes it as "ATSL239260". Lineage: Eukaryota; Viridiplantae; Streptophyta; Magnoliopsida; Brassicales; Brassicaceae. The record is from RNAcentral.